AAACAUAUGAUUUUGCGUUUUGGCCGUGGCUACAGAAAUCAAAUAAGAAAAGGGUUGAUCAGCUUUGUAAGGGGCACUUGGAAAAUAUUAUAACGAAACAUGGCUAUUCGAUUAACUCAGAAACUGCUGCAAGCCCAGGUGCCCUUCUUAACACGAGGAUAUCCCCUGCUGGUGACCAAGGAAAAAACUGAAGACGUGGCACACACCAAAUCGGCUUUGCAAAAGAAAGUAACGGACACGGAUAUACCCUCGGCGCAAUAUGGUGGCCGUCAUGGGGUCACUAUGCUGCCCGGCGGUGGCAUCGGACCCGAAUUGAUGGGCUAUGUUCGUGAGAUCUUCAGAUAUUGUGGUGCUCCCAUUGAUUUUGAGGUAAUCGACAUUGAUCCCUCCACCGAGGGCAAUGAUGAUCUGGACUAUGCAAUUACCUCCAUCAAGCGUAAUGGCGUGGCACUCAAGGGUAAUAUUGAGACGAAAUCGCAAAGUUUAAGCGAAGUCUCCCGCAAUGUGGCCAUCCGCAAUGAGCUUGAUCUCUACGUGAAUGUGGUGCACUGCAAGUCAUAUCCAGGCAUUCCUGCGCGCCACAAGGACGUCGAUGUUGUGCUCAUCCGCCAGAACACGGAUGGUGAGUAUGCCAUGUUGGAGCAUGAGUCUGUGCGCGGCGUUGUGGAGAGCAUGAAGGUGGUUACUGUGGACAAUGCUGAGCGUGUGGCACGCUAUGCCUUCGAAUAUGCGCGUCAGAACAAUCGCAAACGCGUGACGACCAUCCACAAGGCAAACAUCAUGAAACUUUCGGACGGUCUGUUCCUGGAAGUAGCCAAUCGUGUGCACAAGGACUAUCCCGAGCUGGAGCAUAACAACAUGAUUAUUGACAACACUUGCAUGCAGGCCGUCUCGAACCCCCACCAGUUCGAUGUCAUGAAUAUGACUAACUUGUAUGGCACAAUUGUGUCGAACGUGAUUUGUGGACUGAUUGGCGGCGCUGGUCUAAUCUCUGGACGCAACUAUGGCGAUCACUAUGCCGUCUUUGAGCCUGGCACCCGUAACACAGGCACUGCCAUUGCCGGCAAGAAUAUAGCCAAUCCCGUGGCCAUGAUCAAUGCCAGCAUUGAUAUGUUGAAUCAUUUGGGCCACAAGGAGCAUGCGCAGGUUAUCUAUGACGCUACCUACCAGACAAUUGUUAACGAUGCUAUUCGCACGCCAGAUCUCGGCGGCAAUCACAGCAGCACCGAUGUGGUUGAAAACAUUCUCAAGAUCUUGAGUGCCAAGCGCGUGAAUUGGCCACAUGGAAAAUUUUUCACCCAGUCUUAGGUACCCUAUCCGAAUACGCAAGCUAAAGCCCUACUAAACAGCAAAAAUAAUAAAACCAAAAAAUAAAAUAAAAUCUUAUAAUAAAUUUGAUAUUAACCCAACUAAGCCAAUCAGAACCAACAACAAUUGUUAAAAGUUAUUUCAUCUUCAAAGCCAAUGCAUAAAGUGUUUAUUGUGAUGUCAAUAAAUAUUGUUAGAAGCAAUCCAUUUAUUUAUUUAAUGUGGUCAAAACAUUAUCGCUGCUUUACCAAUUGAAAACAAACAAAUCUCCCCGCCCCGGCUAUGUGUUAUGUGUUCUGUGCACCUCCGACGCUCAGUGUUAUACUGCAGAGCUUCUUUCGAGUCAGUAAUGCUUUGAACUACUUUGACUCUUUUUAAACUUUGUUGACCCAAUUUGGCAAGAGCACAAUCCUUAAGCGAAAAAAAAAAUA
This 1739-nucleotide unclassified non-coding RNA is filed under the name Drosophila mojavensis. RNAcentral's name for it is "GI22415". The record is from RNAcentral. Lineage: Eukaryota; Metazoa; Arthropoda; Insecta; Diptera; Drosophilidae.